Molecule: long non-coding RNA, 9582 nt
Filed under: Triticum aestivum (bread wheat)
Lineage: Eukaryota; Viridiplantae; Streptophyta; Magnoliopsida; Poales; Poaceae
Description: long non-coding RNA (TAES_LNC003705)
Source: RNAcentral
GACUCGUUCUUCUUCCUUGCGGGAUCUCAGGCAAGAUGACCAUUACCCUCGAUAUCACUUCUAUCUUUGCUUGCUAGUUGCUCCGUUCUAUUGCCAUGCUGCGCUACCUAUCACUUGUUUACCAUGCCUCCCAUAUUGCCAUGUCAGCCUCUAAUUUUUUUCACCCUUCCUAGCAAACCGUUGCUUGGCUAUGUUACCCGCUUUGCUCAGCCCCUCUUAUAGCAUUGUUAGUUGCAGAUGAAGUUGAAGAUUUCUCCAUGGUGGACAGGAUUAUGAUUGGGAUAUCACAAUAUCUCUUAUAUUAUUAAUGCAUCUAUAUAUUUGGUAAAGGGUGGAAGACUCGGCCUUAUGCCUGGUGUUAUGUUCCACUCUUGCCGCCCUAGUUUUCGUCAUACCGGUGUUAUGUUCCCGGAUUUUGCGUUCCUUACACGGUUGGGUGAUUUAUGGGACCCCCUUGACAGUUCGCUUUGAAUAAAACUCCUCCAGCAAGGCCCAACAUUCGUUUUACCAUUUGCCACCUAAGCCUUUUUCCCUUGGGUUAUGCAGACUCAAGGGUCAUCUUUAUUUUAACCCCCCCGGGCCAGUGCUCCUUCGAGUGUUGGUCCGAACUGAGUAGACUGCGGGGCCACCUCGGGGAAACUUGAGGGCUGAUUUUACUCGUAGGAUGUCUCAUCCGGUGUGCCCUGAGAACGAGAUAUGUGCAGCUCCUAUCGGGAUUUAUCGGCACAUCGGGCGGCUUUGCUGGUCUUGUUUUACCAUUGUCGAAAUGUCUUGUAAACCGGGAUUCCGAGUCUGAUCGGGUCUUCCUGGGAGAAGGUCUAUUCCUUCGUUGAUCGCGAGAGCUUGUCAUGGGCUAAGUUAGGACACCCCUGCAGGGUAUAAUCUUUCGAAAACCAUGCCUGCGGUCAUAGGCAGAUGGGAAUUUGUUAAUGUCCGGUUGUAGAUAACUUGACACCAGAUCUGAUUUAAAACGCAUCAACCGCGUGUGUAGCCGUGAUGGUCUCUUCUCGGCGGAGUCCGGGAUGUGAACACGGUUUUGGGUUAUGUUUGACGUAAGUAGGAGUUCAGGAUCACUUCUUGAUCAUUGCUAGUUCACGACCGUUUCUUUUGCUUUCUUCUCGCUCUUAUUUGCGUAUGUUAGCCACCAUAUAUGCUUAGUCGCUGCAACCUCACCACUUUACCCCUUCCUUUCCCUUAAGCUUAAAUAGUCUUGAUCUCGCGGGUUUUGAGAUUGCUGAGUCCUCGUGGCUCACCAGAUACUAUCACAACAGUUGCAGGUGCCGAUGAUACCAGUGCAAGUGAUGCAACCGAGCUCAGAUGGGAGCUCAACGAAGAUUUUAGUUGUUUCUAUGUUUUGUUUAUUGUUGAUCAGUAGUGGAGCCCAGUUGGGACGAUCGGGGAUCUAGCAGUUGGGUUCUCUUCUUUUCUUUUGGCUUCGUCCGUAGUCGGACUAUAUGUGUGUACUCUGAAUGAUGUAUGCUAUAUUAUAUGUUCAUUGUGUGAAGUGGCGAUUGUAAGCCAACUCUUUAUCCCAUUCUUGUUCAUUACAUGAGAUUGUGUGAAGAUGACCCUUCUUGCGGCAAAACCACAAUGCGGUUAUGCCUCUAAGUCGUGCUUCGACACGUGGGAGAUAUAGCUGCAUCGUGGGUGUUACAAGUUGGUAAUCAGAGCCAUCCCCGACUUAGGAGCCCCCUUCCUGAUUGUUUGCUGACGUUGUUGAGUCUAGAACAAAAAUGUUUUGAGUCUUAGGAUUAUAUAUAUCGGAGAGUAGGAUUCUUUUUACUCCUCAGUCCCUUCGUCGCUCUGGUGAGGUCUCCUGACGUAGAUGUUUUGUCUUUCCUCUCCUCAAAUUUCACUAAAUUUUUUUAGGAUCACGCGGGUAUCUUGGAAUCGUUCCGAUGGUUUUGUGACGAGAACAUUGUUCUUGGUGCCUCCUGUCUUUUAUGUGGCUUUGACCCAGGGAGUUGAGCUCUGAGGUGUUGUCGUCACAAUUUUAUCGUUGCAGUUCUGGAAUACCUGAGUUUUGCUGACAUCGAAAAUCUCUUUUAUGCAGUUGUUGGUGAGAUAACCUCGAUAACCCAGUACUGGGGCGAGCUCGAGAGUAUUGCCAUAACUCGUAUAACGGAUGCUUUUCGAAGGUUGAGGUACACGAUUUCCGAAGGUUUCUUGGUUAUGUGUUGACGGAUGGAUACAGCUUGGAUGUAGGGAUUGUUAGUUUUGGGUGAGAUAUAUAUUGCUUCCCCUGUAUCCCCAACACCAGAUUGCAUAACCAGAAAGUUUCGGGAGUUUUAUAGGUGGGAAUUCAAGUAGCUCCUAGAAUAUCUUUUCGACGGAUGCAUGAUAUGAGAUUGGGGUUUGAUGUCUAGUGGUCCGCCUUUCCACGGUCGUUUUUACAGUGGUCUUGUUGUGUCUUAAAGAACCCUUGGCUAUGCUGGUUCGGGGACACUUCGUAUGUCAUGUGCACUGCCUUGUACAUGAUGGUGCUGUACACUCGAGCCCGUGUGGGCCCCACCACGAAAACUUCGGACGAAAUCUCUAUCAUAUGUUUGUUUCGGGCUUAUUCUGCAAGCCAAAUCCUUUGUUUUGUGUUAUUUGUGGUAUUCGAGUUGCUUCGAGUCAAAUGUUGAAUCCAUACCUUUCCUAAACGUUAUUCUCAUAUUGCUACGUGAAUACUAAUCCUUCUUGAUUAUCGAGAUCGUCAUGUUAAUUCUUUUUCUAACCGGCGUGCUUCUCUUUGAGAUGAUCCGAUCAUUCUCAACAUCCGCAAGAUCAAUUCUAAGUUUUCUCAACGGUAUCCAUCCCAUCUGCCCCAAGUUGCCUUUGUUUUCCCCACCCUCCCACCCUUUUCUUCAAGGACUCAUAUAUUUUAAUCAUGUAUCCAUUUAUUCAUGUGAAGUCACUUCACCCUUUUCAAUCAAUGUUCUGAUCCGGUGAUCCCUCGUGAAGAUGCUCACGAGCUUCAAGUUUAUUAUUCUUCGUCUCUUUUCUUCUCCGGUGGAUUUAACUCAAGCUUUCGGUGUUGAUCAUAUUCCCUUCGUUUCAAGUGUUUGCGUAUGCCGGUGAUCUCUAAAUCAUUCCCCGCUUGCUAUUCAAUUGUUCCGAGUGCUGAAGAUAUCUCUGAAGAUUCGUGUUUCCACUCUGCAUCAAUUCUAACUAUUUUGAGAUUGUUAUCUCAUUCAAGCCAUUUAAUUCUACGGUGCAAUCCCCCCUUUCAAUCAAUCGUUCAACGGUGUUUCUCUUGAGUGGGCCCUAACCCACAGGUCUUUUUCCAGGUUCUUACCUGACUCUUCUAAUUUUCCCGGAGCUAUUCUCGAUUUCUUUUCAAAGUUUAACAUAAGAAUGAUUUCUCAUCAGUCAAAUGUAUUCUCCAAGUUCGCUUUCAUAUUUUUUUCAUCGUUGAUUCAACCUUUCUAUUCUUUAUUAUGGAGUGUCUCAACAAUUCAUGGUGGUUCUCGUCAUCAUUCUCAGCAUGUGAAGACCGAAGAAGAGGUUCUCUUAAAUCUUGUCCGUUCUCUUGAAGAUUCAUGGUUCUAGCGUGAUGCCAUCCUCUCAUAAUUGUUUUCGAUUGUGAGAAUUAUUUUCAACCAUCCAGAGCAUUUCAGGAGUCUUUUUAGUUUCAUUCUCCGGAGCCAAUCAUCUCAGAAUUAUUCAUUCACAGCUUUCAACUCUCGUUCUUGAAUUCUUCCGGUGCAUCAUUCAAAUAUCCUCUAAUCAGUUCAUGAUCUCUUCGUUCUCAUGUAUCUAAAUCCCCUCAAGUAUCUUCAUUAGUUUUCCAAUUCUUCCCGGUGAAUUGUGCCUUUGCUAUGUUCAUUUUCAGUUCCUACGGUGGUUCUUUCAACAUUUCACUUCCUUCGUUAUCAUAUCAAUUCAUUUGUUGUUUCCAAUCCUACACGGUGGUUCCAUCAAUACCUUCUCAAGCUUGCGCUAUAUCUCUCUUAAUCCUUUCUACGAGAAUAAGUAGUAUGCCAAAUACGUUGCUUGUCAUCAAUUUAAAUUGGUGAAGGUUAAGCAUACAAUAAAUCUUAUUCUUAUUUCCUCUAGGUGAUUCAAUUAUUUUCUUCCGGAGAUUGUUCAUGAUGAAGUAAUUCUCGGCUCUAGUGUUUCAUCUUUUCCUUUUCUGGAGUUCCAAGUUUUCUCGGUUAUAUCGUCGCGAAGCUUCAUCUAAAUCAUCGCAAGGCUUCACCUUGUGUUUUCAACUUCCCUUUCUUUUUAUCAUCCUUUUAUUACCGGAGUUCUCCAUGGAGGCUCUACAUGAUGGUUUAUCAAGGAUUUAAUUCCUUCUCAAAGUGUUCAUCGAGAUUCUUUUCAGAGGAGUUCAAGCAUUCUUCAUCUUGCAUUCCAAAGUGCAAUUCUUUCUACCUUAUCUUUUGAGGUGGUGUUAUAUCAUUCUUGACAAUUUUCAUUCAUGUUUCGCGAUUCACAUGUUGUCAAGAAUGAGGUAUUUUAAAUCCAUUAAUCUCUUCGUUGGAGUUAUCUUGGUAUAGAUUUCACUUAAAGCCUUCCCUAAGGAAUGUUGCUAUUAUGGUGCUUAUCAAUGAUCCAAGCUUUCUCCAUAUCCUUCUCGGUGAAAGAGGUUUUCAUCUCUUCGUUGAUCUCAACCAAUCGAUUGUUUCUGUUAGUGGUCGGUUGUCACCUCAUAGUUUUGAGAUGUUUUCCAUAAGCCCACUACAAGCUUAUUCUUUUCGUUGUUGAUUUUCCAACAACUCCGUUCUAUUCUUCUUUGCAAGGAUGCUUUCCAAGCUCAUUUGUGGCAGAAGUUGGCAUUUUCUUCUUCAUUCUGUUAUUCCAAUGAUCUAUCGUCUAUUCUUUCUUCCGGAGGCAUUGUGAUGUUGCUCUCUUCACUCAUCUUCUCGAAUGGAGGAUCAUGUUCUUUUCAUGCUUAUCCAUUCAACCGGAAUGUUGUGUCAUCUCUUCAAGUUCUUUUCAUCUUAUCAAGUCUUGCAUCUCUUUUCAACCGGAGUGCUGUCCGAAUUUGUUCUUCCUUGUUCCUUGUUUAUCUCGUUUCAACCAGAGCGGGUUCAAUUCCUUCUUCUUCAUUGAACUCGUCAUUCAUAGCUUUGCAACCUCUAAGGUUCAAAUGGCGUUCCUUGUUUCUAUUUGUUCUACCGCAGCGCUCUCAAUUGUGUUCAACUCUGCUGUGUUCUUUCUUUCAACUUUUAAAUCUCUCAAGGUUCUUUGGUUUCACUCUUUUGUCGAAGAAGCAACUUAGUUUUACCCAAGGUUGUCAGAAUCGUGAUUUUGAAUCGGAUCGGAGCUCCAAUGGUAGGAUCGAAAAUCGUAGAAUCUUCACUAUCAGGAUCAUAGAAACGUAGAUUCUAUGAAGUAAAAUCGUAGAAUCAGAGGGGUUAGUUUGGAUCAUAAAGUCGUAGAAUCGUUUAACAGAAUCGCGAUUCUGACAACCUUGGUUUUACCUCCUCUCGUCCUCUUCCGUUUUCUCUCCGGUGCCAUUCUAGAUCUCGGGACGAGAUCCUCUUGUAGUGGUGGAGUGUUGUAACGCCCCGAGACCGACGCUCCAGAAGACUUCCAGCUAUUACGAGUUUUGCCAUGUAUCUUUUGUGCUUGCUCUUUUAAUUUUGCAUUGCAUCAUGUCAUCAUGCCAUCAUAUCAUUAAUUUUAAAAACUCAUCUAAAUAAAUUGUAUGGAUCUUCGAUCCAUUUAAACCGAGGGAACUCACAUGGUGACUUCUCUUUAUAACAUACCCUCCCGAUAUUUAGGGAGAUAUUAUUAAAUAUUCCACUAUUUCGGAAAUCACCAAAGCACACUUGCAAAAUAAUUUCGUUCCUUUUCUGCUUCAAGUUUGGUCUCCAACCUUGCCAAUAAUUAUUUCAUCAUUUUCUGGAGCUCCACCUAAAAAUCCGAACAUUUUUUUGGACACUUCAAAAACCUAGUCCUAGUUCAAACCCAUUUGAAUUAAAUUCAAAUGAGUUUGAAUUUAAAUCUUGCAAUCUUGGCCUUUCUAUUUUUCUUGGAACGAGCAUAUUUUUGUGAGUCCAGGGAAAUUAUCCCCUUGCGCAUUUUCUUUCCCUAACCCCCCUCUUCUUUUUCCUUCUCUCUAUGCUUUUCUAUUUUAGAAAUAUAAGAGAGAGAGAGAAGAGGGCCGCUUCCCCGCAGCCCAUUUGACCCAAGGCUAAGUCGGCCCAAGGCCCAGCCGCCCCCACUGUAACCCUAGCCCGAUUCCCUGCGCUCCAUCCUCUCGAUCCCAAUCUCUCUCCCUCUCGAUUCCCUCCAGCGCCGCCAGCGCCCGACCCCCUCUCCCGCAUCUCCCUCGAUCCAUCUCCUCCUCGUUCCCACGCAUCGCCCGAUCCCGCAUCUCUCUCGAUCCCCAUCUCCCUCUCGUCUCUCACCUCGCGCAGCACCCAGCCCCAGGAGCCCGAUUCCCCCAUCCCUCUCCCUCGCUACCGCGACCACUCCUCUCGAUCUCUCCCUCUCCCUCGCUCGUGCCCUCCAUCGCCGCCCGAGCGCCUCCUCCGCAGCAUUGUCACGCCCUGCCUCCCCUUGCUCCGAAGCCCGCCGUCCACCUUCCCCGUGGCUGAGAUCCACUCCGGCGCCCCCUGCCUCGACCUCCUCUCCGAGCAGGAGCAGCCUCCGCCUGCAGGCGCAGAGCCCCGAGGUCGCGUCCCUGUCGCCCGAGCGCUCAAGGAGAGGAGCUCCUCGAGCACCUCGCCCGCAUCCAAUCGUCCUCCGCUGCCCGACGACCCUCUGCAUCCACCUCCAACAGCUCUCCCUGCGACCUCAUCUUCAUCACCGCCUCGUGCGUCCCUACCGACUCCGACCGGGAGCCCCGCCGCUCGCUUGUACAUGGCAUCCGCCUUCCUGCACGCGCGUUGCUGCUGCUUCGCCGCCCGCCUCCCUUCGUUGACCACCAAGACCCGAGGCAUGUGUGCUCCACUGCUAGUUUCGUGGACGACGAGUACCUCUACGAUGACCCUGCAUGUCUACGAGCGUCAAGUACCACUACAACCCAUGUUCGACUACGUGGAUUCGCCAAGUACACCACCACCAAGCCCGCACGGGAGCCCGAACGACUACUUCCACGACGAUGCGAGUACAAGUACCCCUUCGGAUCGCCAAGUACAUCUACGGCCGUGUACCACUACUUCCUCUACCGACGACCCCGAACAUCUACGAAAUGAACGUGUACAACUACCGUCGCCCCGUGAACGACUACCUCCACUACGGCCCGUGAACGACUACUUCCUCUAUGAAACUCGUACCGCUCCGAAAACGCACGCUUCGAAGGUAUAAACCCCGAGGCGACCGCCCGUGAACGAAUGCAUGUGUUGUAUGAGAUGUACCAUAUGUUUGCAACAUGUCCGAAGUGUCACUCGUUUCCAUGCCGCCGUCCCGUGGGAACCCGGAAGCCGGGAGCACCCCACCAUCCUCGCAUGACACGCUCACAUCACACUUCUGGUAUGCAUCGGUAUCUCACUCGAGUUAUCGGGACCGGAAUGUUGCCGUGGCACCAUUUUCGUUAUCGUUGCCGUGGCACCCCUUUUAUUCCGCCAUGGUGACCAGAUGUUUCAUAACAUGCUCAUGUCAUCGUUUUCAUUAAAAUUGCAUAAACUUGUAUAUGUCAUCCGCAUCAUGAUAACAACAUUUAAAUGGUUAAAAUUGUGUUUGCAUUAAAAUACUAUAUGACAUGGGGACUUUCCGGAAUUGUUGUUUGUUGUUUUCCGGCCUCAUUUAAACUUGCCUAAAUAUGUAGUUCACUUAUGCUUCACCCCUUGCCAUGUUAAUUAACAUUUAAUAUUUGUUGAGUAUCAUAACCGAGAGAGAACUAAAUAAUUGAUGUGGUGUUCCGUCAAUAUGCAACUCGUUGCAUAUUGAGCUCCACUUAACUUGUAGUGUUGUUUUUGCAUAUUGCCAUGCCAUGCCUCAUUAAACCGGACAUGCAUCAUACUUGAUUGUGCAUCAUGCCAUGAUUAUGUUCGUGUGUUUACCAUAUUGUUUGCUUCUUUCCGGUUUGCUUCUCUCGUUAGCUUCGGUUUCGUUCCGGAGUUGUGAGGAUUUGUUCGACUACGUUCGUAUGUCUUCUUCAUGGACUUGUUCUUCUUCCUUGCGGGAUCUCAGGCAAGAUGACCAUUACCCUCGAUAUCACUUCUAUCUUUCCUUGCUAGUUGCUUCGUUCUAUUGCCAUGCUGCGCUACCUAUCACUUGUUUACCAUGCCUCCCAUAUUGCCAUGUCAGCCUCUAAUUUUUUUCACCCUUCCUAGCAAACCGUUGCUUGGCUAUGUUACCCGCUUUGCUCAGCCCCUCUUAUAGCAUUGUUAGUUGCAGAUGAAGUUGAAGAUUUCUCCAUGGUGGACAGGAUUAUGAUUGGGAUAUCACAAUAUCUCUUAUAUUAUUAAUGCAUCUAUAUAUUUGGUAAAGGGUGGAAGACUCGGCCUUAUGCCUGGUGUUUUGUUCCACUCUUGCCGCCCUAGUUUCCAUCAUACCGGUGUUAUGUUCCCGGAUUUUGCGUUCCUUACGCGGUUGGGUGAUUUAUGGGACCCCCUUGACAGUUCGCUUUGAGUAAAACUCCUCCAGCAAGGCCCAACCUUGGUUUUACCAUUUGCCACCUAAGCCUUUUUCCCUUGGGUUAUGCAGACUCAAGGGUCAUCUUUAUUUUAACCCCCCGGGCCAGUGCUCCUUCGAGUGUUGGUCCAAACUGAGUAGACUGCGGGGCCACCUCGGGGAAACUUGAGGGCUGGUUUUACUCGUAGGAUGUCUCAUCCGGUGUGCCCUGCGAACGAGAUAUGUGCAGCUCCUAUCGGGAUUUGUCGGCACAUCGGGCGGCUUUGCUGGUCUUGUUUUACCAUUGUCGAAAUGUCUUGUAAACCGGGAUUCCGAGUCUGAUCGGGUCUUCCUGGGAGAAGGUCUAUUCCUUCGUUGAUCGCGAGAGCUUGUCAUGGGCUAAGUUGGGACACCCCUGCAGGGUAUAAUCUUUCGAAAGCCGUGCCUGCGGUUAUAGGCAGAUGGGAAUUUGUUAAUGUCCGGUUGUAGAUAACUUGACACCAGAUCUGAUUUAAAACGCAUCAACCGCGUGUGUAGCCGUGAUGGUCUCUUCUCGGCGGAGUCCGGGAAGUGAACACGGUUUUGGGUUAUGUUUGACGUAAGUAGGAGUUCAGGAUCACUUCUUGAUCAUUGCUAGUUCACGACCGUUCCUUUUGCUCUCUUCUCGCUCUUAUUUGCGUAUGUUAGCCACCAUAUAUGCUUAGUCGCUGCUGCAACCUCACCACUUUACCCCUUCCUUUCCCUUAAGCUUAAAUAGUCUUGAUCUCGCGGGUUUUGAGAUUGCUGAGUCCUCGUGGCUCACCCGAUACUAUCACAACAGUUGCAGGUGCCGAUGAUACCAGUGCAGGUGAUGCAACCGAGCUUAGAUGGGAGCUCAACGAAGAUCUUAGUUGUUGCUAUGUUUUGUUUAUUGUUGAUCAGUAGUGGAGCCCAGUUGGGACGAUCGGGGAUCUAGCAGUUGGGUUAUCUUCUUUUCUUUUGGCUUCGUCCGUAGUCGGACUAUAUGUGUGUACUCUGAAUGAUGUAUGCUAUAUUAUAUGUUCAUUGUGUGAAGUGGCGAUUGUAAGCCAACUCUUUAUCCCAUUCUUG